This is a long non-coding RNA of Phalaenopsis equestris, 408 nucleotides long. RefSeq lists it as uncharacterized. The transcript has 2 exons. The record is from RefSeq and is a predicted model, not a curated record. NCBI's taxonomy places the organism in Eukaryota, Viridiplantae, Streptophyta, Magnoliopsida, Asparagales, Orchidaceae.
AUAUAGUACCAUGUGUGCUAUUAUUAGAACUAUGCUUGGUAAAAUUAAAAUUUAAAAUUUGCAUAUACAUGCAGCAAUUGGCCAACAUUUCCACAAAUCUUCAUCAAAGGAGAGUUCGUCGGGGGAUCGGAUAUCGUCCUCGGCAUGCACCAGAACGGUCAGCUGAAGGAGUUGCUUGCAGACAUAAAGGGUGACACUUCUAAGCCUACAGAAGACAACUAGUUUCUUUCUUUUCUUGAGGUACAACCUCCUCUUUAAUAAUUUUUCUUCAUGAAAAUAUAAUUAUACAUUAAAUUUUGAGUCUGUAAAAUGAUGAUAGUUUUGAUGUGUUAUAAAAGAUUUGUGUGGCAUAACCUAAACAAGCAAAGUUUUGGUGUUAGUUGUGUAAAUACAUAGGAAUUGGGUGGA